RNAcentral lists this ribosomal RNA (334 nucleotides) under uncultured bacterium. RNAcentral describes it as "bacterial SSU rRNA". It matches the Rfam family "Bacterial small subunit ribosomal RNA", at positions 23 to 342 of the family's 1533-position model. The record is from RNAcentral.
CUCAGAACGAACGCUGGCGGCGUGCCUAACACAUGCAAGUCCAACGUGAAAGGGGAGCAAUCCCCCGGUAGGGUGGCAAACGGGUGAGUAAUACAUGGGUGAUCUACCUUAGGGAUGGGGAUAUCCUUCCGAAAGGAGGGGCAAUACCGAAUAUUGUCCGGAGCCGUGAAGGGUUCCGGGGAAAGGGAGGCCUCUGAUACAAGCUUUCGCCUUAAGAUGAGCCCAUGGCCCAUCAGCUAGUUGGUAGGGUAAAGGCCUACCAAGGCUACGACGGGUCGCUGGUCUGAGAGGACGACCAGCCACACUGGCACUGAGAUACGGGCCAGACUCCUAC